AGUGAACGCUGGCGGUAUGCCUAACACAUGCAAGUCGAACGGCAGCACAUUAAUUGCUUUCUCUAACGGGUGGCCUCUAGCGGCGGGGUGGGGAAUACAACGUAAUCUACUUUUUCGUGGCUUAUAACUUAGGCAAACUUACGCUAAUACCUUAUCGGACCUACGGUUGAAAGCAGCGUAUCUUCGUACCUUGCGCUCUUGAAUGAGCGGAUGUCGGAUUAGCUAGUUGGCGGGGUAAAGGCCCACCAGGGCAACGAUCCGUAGCUGGACUGAGAGUAUGAUCAGCGACACUGGAACUGAGACACGGUCAAGGCUCCGACGGGAGGGAGAAGUGGGGAAUAGGGGACAAUGGGCGCAAGCCUGAUCCAGACAUAGCGCGUGGGUGAAGAAGGCCUUCGGGUUGGAAAGCCAUUUUGUUGGGAAAGAAAAGCAGCAGGUUAAGACCCAGCUGUUCUGACGGUACCAAAAGAAGAAGCACCGGCUAACUUCGUG
This 492-nucleotide ribosomal RNA is filed under the name uncultured bacterium. Its description in RNAcentral is "partial 16S ribosomal RNA". It matches the Rfam family "Bacterial small subunit ribosomal RNA", at positions 29 to 507 of the family's 1533-position model. The record is from RNAcentral.